This 2439-nucleotide long non-coding RNA is filed under the name Cucumis sativus (cucumber). Its description in RNAcentral is "long non-coding RNA (CSAT_LNC000130)". Lineage: Eukaryota; Viridiplantae; Streptophyta; Magnoliopsida; Cucurbitales; Cucurbitaceae. The record is from RNAcentral.
AAAAACACAAUUUCCCCUUCUAAACCCUUAAUUUUUCUCCAAUUGCUUCCUCGCAUAUGUGUUUCUCCCCUAAAUUUUCUCCAUUCCUCAUGUGCGCGUUUCUUCCCAUUUCGGCCAUCUUAAGUCUCGUCGCCACCACUUUCCCCCUCGUGCCCGUCCGUCCAAACCUCCUCCUCAUCGUCACCAACACCCCGUCGCCACCACCCCCGUCUUCUCCAAACCUCUGCAAUCAACUUGAAGCUUCAAAUCGUGGACAUCGGUCGUCACCCCUCCGCCGGUAAGCUUCUCUUCGUUAUCUCUUUCUCUCUCUCUCUAUGAAGUUCUUCUUUGUUGUGGUUACUCUUAACAAAUAUUUUGUAGACCUCAAAGAUAGGCCCACACAUAUUCUAACACAAGUAUUUUCCAGUACAUUACUGCAUGCAUGCAACUACUAAAAUCACUUUUGAGUAAACUCAUGUGAAAAAAAAUUAAAUCCUUUUUAUUUAUAAAGUUUUGAAUUUUUUUUAAUAAAAUAAUAAAUCAAUUAGCAAUUAACAAUUAUCAAAUCCAAUUCAAGUUACCCGGUCCGAUUCUAAAUGAAAUAGAACAAUUAAAUAAAACGUAAAUGUUUUCUCUAAUUAAAAUCAAAACAUGACAAAUAUGAUCCUAAGUGCGAAAGCUAACACUGUUCUCAUGGCUCGCCUACGAACCCUUGUUGUCAUUUGGUGUCUUGUCUUGGUUCUUACUUGAAAAAUGUAACAUAGAUAUACUAAAAAGUUGAGUAUAAAUAUACUAAAAGUUGAGUAUAAAUAUACUAAAUAGUUGAGUAUAAAUAUACUCAGUAAGUAACUCCUACUGUUGCAGUUAAACUAAGCAUUAACUUUCUUAAAAUGCAUUGUACUAAUAAUCACGAAGGAAACACAAACUGAUGAAUCUAGUGGGAAACAAAAACUGGUGAAUCCCAAAGAAAAGCAUAGGCUGGUGAAUCUCGAAGGAAAAUACAAACUGGGACCAGUGAAUUUCGAAUAAGACUGGUGAAUCUCAAAGAAAACACAGAUUGGGACCGAUGAAUUCCAUCUCGAAGGAAACAUUGACGGGGAUCGGUGAAUCCCAAAGGAAACGCAUACAGGCUGGGACUAUUGAAUCCCGAAGGAAACAUAAACUGGUGGGAAACACAUCGUUACAAGCUAGGGGCAACAACUAGUAAGCCAUAACAUCAUACACAACGUCGAGUAGCAGUCACAGAAAUAGUCAAUCAUCUCAACCAUUGACUCACUUAUAAUUUUAUUUCACUCGCAUGCUAAAUUCAAUCAUAUACUAUCAUCCAAUUAUGAGCUUCAUCAUAGUCACAUACGCAAAAUAAACUCAGUACCAUUCAUGCCACAUCCUAAAUUCAUUCUAGGUAGCCUAGCUCAAGGACGGUUCUAAUAGUAAGUUACUUGUCUCAACUAGUUUAAUUCAAAAAAUAAACAACCACAACCUAUAAAACGAAAGAUUAAAUCACCACCUACACAACAACUCAGUUAUCAGCAUAAGUUACGCGUCCUGAUCAUAUUCUUAUGUGUUUUACCUCAUUAUUCUAAUAGAAAGGACUAUAAUAAUAGAUGUUUAUGCACGUUAUCAUGAGGCUUGACAAUAGUAACCCACUUUGUGCUCCAAACGCCCCUUAAUAUUUCACAUCAAUAGAGCAUAUUAAUUCACAUAUUUGAAAAAAAUGUCAAUUAAUCCUCUACUUAAGUCAUAAAAACACAAGAGUAUGAAAUUUGCUUUCAAAAUAUAAGUAUCACCCUCAGUAUGAAUUUAGUGUUGCUCUCGCUAGUAAUGCACUAUUGAUGUGAUUAUGUUUCAGAGUAUGAAUGAUUUGACAAAUUUUCUAAAAUGAACCCAACUAAUCACCUCAAAAUAGUAACCCAAAAGUGGUUGCCCAAAACCUAACGAGAAAUUUGAAACAUUAGAGGAUUUGCAAGGAAUUUUUAGCAGCAGGUUGGGUUUUUUGGUUUUAGUAUGCAAAAGGUUAGAUUGCAAGAGAUAUUGCUAAUCAUAGCACAAGAUGAUCAAUAGACAAUUGGAGGUGGUUUUUGGUGAGAUCACUUCACAUGAAAUAGAUCUUCUACAACUGUUGUUGAUGGCAAAGAGGUCUUGCUCGAGGAGGUCAUAAAUGGUGAAAUGGGUACUUGACAGUGUCACUACCUAGUGAUGAUGGACUCAGAGGGAGUUGUUUCCUGGUAUACAUGUGGCAAUUUUAGUGAACUUAUCCCUGAGUUACAUGUGUACCAAUGUAUUAAAUAUCACUAUAUACAACAAGAUAGUAUUCUGUGUCAAUGCUAGCACAGUAGGCCAUUAUCAUGUACUUAUAUAUCAUUUCAACGUAACAAUAUAUAUGAUCUCUCAUUUUAUGGGUCAAUAGCAGUACAGAUGUAGAUCAUUGAAUUGGAUUACCAAUUCUUGACGUUUUGAUUA